This 73-nucleotide transfer RNA is filed under the name Dipodomys ordii (Ord's kangaroo rat). It matches the Rfam family "tRNA". From Rfam's summary of the family: Transfer RNA (tRNA) molecules are approximately 80 nucleotides in length. Their secondary structure includes four short double-helical elements and three loops (D, anti-codon, and T loops). Lineage: Eukaryota; Metazoa; Chordata; Mammalia; Rodentia; Heteromyidae. The record is from Rfam by way of RNAcentral.
GGAGAUACAGCUCAAGUGGUAGAGCACUUGUGUAGCAAACAGGAGACCUUGAGUUCCAUUCACAGUAUCACCA